Molecule: long non-coding RNA, 1808 nt
Organism: Gallus gallus (chicken)
Lineage: Eukaryota; Metazoa; Chordata; Aves; Galliformes; Phasianidae
Exons: 2
Source: RefSeq, a predicted model, not a curated record
GCUCUGGGCAGCCUGGUCUGGUGGUUGGAGACCCUGCACAUAGCAGUGGGGUUGAAACUGCAUGAUCAUUGUGGUCCUUUUCAACCCAGGCCAUUCUGUGUUUCUAUGAUUCUAUGAUUGUAUGGUGUCCUGUUGGUAACAUCCAGAGUAGAUGCUCAGCAAGCAUAAUUACUUCUGUAAGUAGCUUAAGUUAUGUAUCACUUCUUUCCAUGAAUGUGAAGCUCAUGAGAAUACUCUAUUACCUGUGGCAAUGCAGACAGUCCUUCAUUAAUAAUACAACGACAUUCUGGGUUUUCUGGUCCUGAGAAGGGGCAGUGCAAGCACACUGUCAAAUUACUGCAGGAAUAAAGAUGUUUAUGUAGCUGUUGCAAAAGACUUACAGAAAUUCACUGUAGCAGAGAAUCAAAGUGCUGAACAAAGGAUAAAAGAACUAGCAACAGUGAAGCCAGCUGAAGAACUGCAGUGAGAAUCUGGGGCUGUUCUCUGUCCCGUUGUGGUUGCAGAGAGUUGUAUGCCAGGGCUGGCAUGUCCCAGCAAGGAGCAUCGAGCAUGUCACAGCACCAUUCUGGGAGGAGCUGUAAAGGUGCAGGCUGACACUGUGCUUGUGGAAGUGGAAGUCACAGAAUUCAGGUGCCGAAGAGCUGGUGUCUCCCUGAAUCUCGACGUUAUCUGACCUCAGAUGAAUCUUGAAAUGGUAUCCCUAGGAGCACAAAUGGCAUUCAGAUGCUUCAGCUGAGAAAUUUUUCACACCUUUGGAAAACUUUGCAUCAGAAGAGGAAAGGAUAACUUGUUCUCCAAACUUUACAAGAGUUCCAAACCAAGAUUUUCACGAAACAAGGCAGCGGAAGGAGUGCCUCCUUGAAGAAAAGCAAACUAACAGGAGAGAGGCACAGGAAAACAGAUGAAGACAUUAAGCAACUCUAGAGAGGGCAUAUGUAAAUGUAUUUAUGUCUCAUACAGUUUCAACAAAGCUUUUGAGACAAAGAUGUAUGCUCCUGCAGAUCAUCUGGGCAGCCCACUGUUUUCAUUGGACUUUCCGCAUUCAUGUACCUGCUGGCCAAGUGACGAGGGUAACAUCACAGUUUCCCUUCCACACAACCUCAGUGGAAAAUCAACAGUGAUGAGUGUUAGAACUUUGACCUCAAAAUCAUGUAGAAACCACAAUAAGCUUCCUCUUUUUUUUCUAGCCUGAUCAUCUUUGGGAACAAGACAUGGGAAAUCAUAAUAUGUCUCUUUUUGUCUCUUUGCAUUCUUCUCUUCCCCCUCUUCCUCUCUCUUCCCCCUCCACCUUUUGAACUAGUCGCCCAAUUUCAACAAAAACUUUAUAGCUGAGCAGGAAUAUUCAAGUCUAUAGAGUUUUUACAACUUUUGGGAAGAAAAGUGACCCAGCGUAGACUAUAGAAACCAGACAAGAAAGAAGACUUUUAGAGACCCAAACCAGAAAGAUGGCUUUAACUGAAGUUCAUACCUGGUUUCUCUGCAGAAGUCAAUCAGCCACAAGAAAUGAAGCUAUAAGAAACCAUGAUCCACUCUUUGUGGUGAUCACACAGCAACUUCUUAACUGACCGUAAAUGUUUUGAGAAGUGCUAUUUGUUUUGUUUUUUUUUUAAUCACUGCUCAAUAAAGCUAUUAUAUGUAAUGUGUGUAUGAUUUAUCUCACACACCAAACAUGACACCCAGAUUUGCCACUCUGUCAUCAGAAACAUAAAAUGGCUAACUGUUAAUUUAAAAUGAAUUUGCAUCCCCAGUACUGCUUUUUCCAUAAAGGUGUACAGAAUGAACAUAAAUGAACCACCUGAUAAGUGGCA